GAUGCGAACCCACCUCCUCCGACCCCGCGCCUGCUGGCUUGCCAGGCCUUGCGGACCGGGCGCCCGGGCCCGUUCUCACCUUCGUCACCUGCACGCAGUAGCGCCGGUGGGCCCGGGCGUGCGACCCGCGUCCCCAGCCUUGGGCUCGGUCAAAGUUUUAGCCAAAGGAAAAAAGAAGUGGAUGACAUUCACAUUUGAAACAAACAGCAGUGUCAUAUCUGAAUUACGCAAAUUCUUGAUAGUCAAACUGUAACUCCUCACAACUACACCUAAAAAAAUUCAGAAUGUAAGUCAGAAGAUAUUUUUGAAAAACAAAUUAUUUUAAUUCUACUCUGUGCCAAUAUUUGAAUACAACUGGGCAGAAAUCUACAAUGUUAUAAUUAGGAUUUGAUGGGGAAAAUAAAAGAAAAAAAGAA
Molecule: long non-coding RNA, 416 nt
Organism: Tupaia belangeri chinensis (Chinese tree shrew)
Lineage: Eukaryota; Metazoa; Chordata; Mammalia; Scandentia; Tupaiidae
Exons: 3
Source: RefSeq, a predicted model, not a curated record